This 492-nucleotide ribosomal RNA is filed under the name uncultured bacterium. RNAcentral describes it as "partial 16S ribosomal RNA". It matches the Rfam family "Bacterial small subunit ribosomal RNA", at positions 29 to 507 of the family's 1533-position model. The record is from RNAcentral.
AGUGAACGCUGGCGGUAGGCCUAACACAUGCAAGUCGAACGGCAGCACAGUAAGAGCUUGCUCUUACGGGUGGCGAGUGGCGGACGGGUGAGGAAUACUUCGGAAUCUACUUUUUCGUGGGGGAUAACGUAGGGAAACUUACGCUAAUACCGCAUACGACCUACGGGUGAAAGCAGGGGAUCUUCGGACCUUGAGCGAUUGAAUGAGCCGAUGUCGGAUUAGCUAGUUGGCGGGGUAAAGGCCCACCAAGGCGACGAUCCGUAGCUGGUCUGAGGGGAUGAUCAGCCACACUGGAACUGAGACACGGUCCAGACUCCUACGGGAGGCAGCAGUGGGGAAUAUUGGACAAUGGGCGCAAGCCUGAUCCAGCCAUACCGCGUGGGUGAAGAAGGCCUUCGGGUUGUAAAGCCCUUUUGUUGGGAAAGAAAAGCAGCAGGUUAAUACCCCGCUGUUCUGACGGUACCCAAAGAAUAAGCACCGGCUAACUUCGUG